This 65-nucleotide transfer RNA is filed under the name Mimela splendens. RNAcentral's name for it is "tRNA-Arg". The record is from RNAcentral. Lineage: Eukaryota; Metazoa; Arthropoda; Insecta; Coleoptera; Scarabaeidae.
AAAUAAGAAACAAUAAUUUGUAUUUAGUUUCGACCUAAAAGUUAGGUGUUAUUCACCCUUAUUUA